Molecule: long non-coding RNA, 1717 nt
Filed under: Piliocolobus tephrosceles (Ugandan red Colobus)
Lineage: Eukaryota; Metazoa; Chordata; Mammalia; Primates; Cercopithecidae
Description: lncRNA (ENSPTEG00000013110.1)
Source: RNAcentral
UUUAAAGCAUUUUAUGACAUAUGUCCAUACGAAUAUAAAGAUGUAUUAACUUGUUUGUUUAUCCAAUCAUCUGAUAUAUUAGAAGAAGCAGAUAUAAAUAAUACUUUUUAUUAUGAUGAAAUUAUAAAUAAUUAUAAAGACAAUGAAGGGAGUAAUAGUAUUAGUAUAAAUAGUAACGACAACCGUAGCAGUUGUACUGAUAGUUUAUUGGAAGAAGCAAUGUUUAUAACUGAAGAUAAAAAAAAUAUUGAAAAUUCUACCGGUUGUAUUAUAAAAAAAGAAAAUAAUUUGUCUCAUAAAUAUAAAAAAAAUGAGGUUACUGUGAAUAGAAAAAAAAUUAUGUAUGAAGUGGAUGUACAUAUUAAUGACAUAAAAGAAGCAACUGAUCAUAUAAAUGAAAAUAAUUUUAUAAUAGUAUAUAAUUUGCCAAUUAUCAGUUAUGAUUUGUUAAGAGAUGAACUCAAACAGACAUUUUCAUUUUGUGGGCCCAUAAAAAAUAUAGAAUUUUUUAACGAUCGAGUGAAAACAGUUGAUAUGAACGUGUUAGAUGAUGAUGUACCUAUAGGCAUAAAACCUAAAAAUGAUUUGAAUGGUUUGAAAGAAACGAGAGAGUCGUCAAGCAAACAGAAAGGCGGUAUUAAAAGAAAAAAUGAUGGUACAUGUUGUAGUGGAACACGUAAUGAUGGUAAAUAUGAUACUAUGGACAAUAACACAAGUGACAAAACCAAUGAUAAUAAUGUAGCUAAAAAUAAGAGGAAGAAUAAAAAACAUACAAAAAAAUUAAAGAACCUAAACAGUUACACCCAUAUCUAUGGCAUCAUCGAAUUUUAUGAUGAAGAAUCAGCAAACCUAGCUACAAGUGAGUUUUUACGUAUUUUUGGUAUUUUUUGUUAUAAAAAAUUAAUAUACGUUGACAAAUGCGUAAACAAAAACCUUAUGGUAAUAACCCAUUUACCUUUUCAUUUGAAUAUAUACAAUAUUUUAUAUAUGUUAUUAAAUGCUUUUUUAUAUAAACAUAAUAUAUUGAGUAAAACAAGUGAAGAACUUAAAAAUAAAAACGUUGAGAAUAAUAAUUUAUUUGUGAAUAAAGGUGAGGCAACAAAAGAAGGAGAACAAAAAGAGAGUAGUGUCAUGAUGCACUCCGCUUCGAACAAAACAAUGAGUAAAUGCCAAUUUGUUGUAAAAAAUAGUGAUGUUAAAAUUGAAAAUGAUGAGAGUUGUUAUAAAAAUUGGACAACUGAUAAUGAUAAAGAUAUCUAUGACUAUAUAUACGAAAUUUCCAAAAAAAAUUAUAUGAAAUUUAGAAAACAAAAUAGUGUCUUAUUAGAUCAAGUUAGUAAAGAUAAGGCUACUAAUCAAUUGCAUAAUGAUGUUUUCGAAUCAUUUGCUGAUUUUUAUCAAAACCAAAAUAGAAAAGAAGAAAAAGUAAACAUUAAUAAUAACGGUAGGAUAUUAAUUUUGCGUUUUAAUAAUUUUAAGAAUUUAUUUUAUUGCUUAAAAAAGUUUAAAUCUAUUUUUAAAAAUAAAAGUUGUAUGAUUUUUUCACUAAAUUUAAGAAGAUGUGUUUAUAUAAAUGAUGAUAUUAAGGACCAUGUUCAGAUAAAAAAUUGAAGAAAAUGUAUGUACGAUAGAGCUUUAAAAUUUUGCAAUUUCGUACAAAAGAGACCACUUAAAAAAAAAAAAAAAAAAAGAGUCUUGUAAGUUCUAGAAAGGAGAU